Molecule: ribosomal RNA, 240 nt
Filed under: Fundulus notatus (blackstripe topminnow)
Lineage: Eukaryota; Metazoa; Chordata; Actinopteri; Cyprinodontiformes; Fundulidae
Description: partial 12S ribosomal RNA
Rfam family: Bacterial small subunit ribosomal RNA
Source: RNAcentral
AGAGGCUCGAGUUGAUAGCCUUCGGCGUAAAGCGUGGUUAAGGAGUUAUUAGGCUAAAGUCGAACUCUCUCAUGGCUGUUAUACGCACCCGAGAGCAUGAAGUCCAAACGCGAAAGUAACUUUAAAUAUCCUGACCCCACGAAAGCUGUGAAACAAACUGGGAUUAGAUACCCCAUUAUGCACAGCCAUAAACUUUGAUAAAGAAUUUACAAUUUAUCCGCCCGGGUACUACGAGCAUAA